UACGUAGGGUGCAAGCGUUGUCCGGAAUUAUUGGGCGUAAAGAGAACGUAGGCGGUUUGUUAAGUCUGUUCUUAAAGACCAGGGCUCGACCCUGGGAAUGGAAUGGAAACUGGCAGACUCGAGGACGUCAGAGGAAGGUGGAAUUCCCAGUGUAGCGGUGAAAUGCGUAGAUAUUGGGAGGAACACCAGUGGCGAAAGCGACCUUCUGGGACGAUCCUGACGCUGAGGUUCGAAAGCUCGGGUCACGAACCGG
This 253-nucleotide unclassified non-coding RNA is filed under the name uncultured cyanobacterium. RNAcentral describes it as "contains 16S-23S intergenic spacer region". It matches the Rfam family "Bacterial small subunit ribosomal RNA", at positions 524 to 776 of the family's 1533-position model. The record is from RNAcentral. Lineage: Bacteria; Bacillati; Cyanobacteriota.